AAUCAACGCUGGCGGCGUGCCUCAGACAUGCAAGUCGAACGCGAAAGUUUCCUUCGGGAGAUGAGUAGAGUGGCGCACGGGUGAGUAACACGUGAGUAAUUUACCUUCGGGUGGGGAAUACUAACCGGAAACGGUUGUUAAUACCGCAUAAUGCAGCGGCAUCAAUGAUGACAGUUGUUAAAGCGGGGGAUUGGAGCAAUCCGACCUCGCGCCUGAAGAGAAGCUCGCGGCAGAUUAGCUAGUUGGUAAGGUAAUGGCUUACCAAGGCGACGAUCUGUAACCGGCCUGAGAGGGCGGUCGGUCACACUGACACUGAAUAACGGGUCAGACUCCUACGGGAGGCAGCAGUCGGG
Molecule: ribosomal RNA, 353 nt
Filed under: uncultured bacterium
Lineage: Bacteria
Description: bacterial SSU rRNA
Rfam family: Bacterial small subunit ribosomal RNA
Source: RNAcentral